GACGUCACACCAACCGCUGCUCAUACGCCUUGCCUAUCGUAUAGUGGUGAUUUUUGUGGACGGAGAU
Small nucleolar RNA from Leptomonas pyrrhocoris, 67 nucleotides. It matches the Rfam family "Trypanosomatid snoRNA TB10Cs4H3". NCBI's taxonomy places the organism in Eukaryota, Euglenozoa, Kinetoplastea, Trypanosomatida, Trypanosomatidae. The record is from Rfam.